AAUACGUUCCCGGGCCUUGUACACACCGCCCGUCACACCACGAAAGUCGGCAACACCCGAAGCCGGUGGCCCAACCCUUUUGGGAGGGAGCCGUCGAAGGUGGGGUCGGCGAUUGGGGUG
RNAcentral lists this ribosomal RNA (120 nucleotides) under uncultured bacterium. Its description in RNAcentral is "partial 16S ribosomal RNA". It matches the Rfam family "Bacterial small subunit ribosomal RNA", at positions 1365 to 1482 of the family's 1533-position model. The record is from RNAcentral.